AUUGAACGCUGGCGGCAUGCCUUACACAUGCAAGUCGAACGGUAACAGGUCUUCGGAUGCCGACGAGUGGCGAACGGGUGAGUAAUAUAUCGGAACGUGCCCAGUAGUGGGGGAUAGCUGCUCGAAAGAGCAGCUAAUACCGCAUACGACCUGAGGGUGAAAGGGGGGGAUCGCAAGACCUCUCGCUAUUGGAGCGGCCGAUAUCAGAUUAGCUAGUUGGUGGGGUAAAGGCCUACCAAGGCAACGAUCUGUAGUUGGUCUGAGAGGACGACCAGCCACACUGGGACUGAGACACGGCCCAGACUCCCACGGGAGGCAGCAGUGGGGAAUUUUGGACAAUGGGCGCAAGCCUGAUCCAGCAAUGCCGCGUGCAGGAAGAAGGCCUUCGGGUUGUAAACUGCUUUUGUCAGGGAAGAAAUCUUCUGGGCUAAUACCCCGGGAGGAUGACGGUACCUGAAGAAUAAGCACUGGCUAACUACGUGCCAGCCGCCGCCGUAA
Molecule: ribosomal RNA, 498 nt
Filed under: uncultured bacterium
Lineage: Bacteria
Description: partial 16S ribosomal RNA
Rfam family: Bacterial small subunit ribosomal RNA
Source: RNAcentral